GGAAAGAGAAAGGGAAGAGGUAUUUCUGCUGGACAAGGCAACAGUUGUGGGUUCGGUAUGAGAGGUCAGAAGUCGCGCUCCGGUCCUGGUGUUAGAAAAGGGUUUGAAGGAGGCCAGAUGCCCCUCUACCGCCGCAUCCCCAAAUUGCGAGGAAUUGCUGGAGGUAUGCAUGCGGGUCGUCCUAAAUAUGUCCCUGUUAAUUUAAAAGACAUAGAAGCAGCAGGAUUUCAAGAGGGCGAAGAGGUGUCAUUGGAGACUUUGAAAGAGAAGGGCUUGAUCAAUCCAUCUGGAAGAGAAAGGAAACUCCCUUUGAAGAUUCUAGGUGAUGGGGAGCUAAGUGUAAAGCUGAACUUGAAGGCUCGGGCCUUUUCAGAAUCGGCCAAGGAGAAGCUUGAGGCUUCUGGUUGCUCUCUUACUGUGUUAACUGGGCGUAAGAAGUGGUUGAAACCAUCAGUUAUUAAGAACCUUGCUCGAGCUGAGGAAUACUUUGCAAAGAAAAAGGCUGCAGCUGCUGCAUCUGAGCCAGUCUCUACUUGAACCAUUUUCAUUAAUUUUUAUGUGUUUAAGACGGAGUAAAAUAGCACGUGGAGAUAUAAAGCUGGGUGCUUAUUAUUAUUACUGUUAUUUUCUGUUUGUUAGAUUUCUUAGUUGUCUGUCCCAG
RNAcentral lists this unclassified non-coding RNA (661 nucleotides) under Hevea brasiliensis (rubber tree). The record is from RNAcentral. Lineage: Eukaryota; Viridiplantae; Streptophyta; Magnoliopsida; Malpighiales; Euphorbiaceae.